This 617-nucleotide ribosomal RNA is filed under the name Nostoc sp. P2. Its description in RNAcentral is "bacterial SSU rRNA". It matches the Rfam family "Bacterial small subunit ribosomal RNA", at positions 120 to 770 of the family's 1533-position model. Lineage: Bacteria; Bacillati; Cyanobacteriota; Cyanophyceae; Nostocales; Nostocaceae. The record is from RNAcentral.
AGAAUCUGGCUCUAGGUCUGGGACAACAGUUGGAAACGACUGCUAAUACCGGAUGUGCCGAGAGGUGAAAGGCUUGCUGCCUAGAGAUGAGCUCGCGUCUGAUUAGCUAGUUGGUGUGGUAAGAGCGCACCAAGGCGACGAUCAGUAGCUGGUCUGAGAGGAUGAUCAGCCACACUGGGACUGAGACACGGCCCAGACUCCUACGGGAGGCAGCAGUGGGGAAUUUUCCGCAAUGGGCGAAAGCCUGACGGAGCAAUACCGCGUGAGGGAGGAAGGCUCUUGGGUUGUAAACCUCUUUUCUCAAGGAAUAAGAAAGUGAAGGUACUUGAGGAAUAAGCAUCGGCUAACUCCGUGCCAGCAGCCGCGGUAAUACGGAGGAUGCAAGCGUUAUCCGGAAUGAUUGGGCGUAAAGCGUCCGCAGGUGGCCCUGUAAGUCUGCUGUUAAAGAGUGAGGCUUAACCUCAUAAAAGCAGUGGAAACUACAGAGCUAGAGUGCGUUCGGGGCAGAAGGAAUUCCUGGUGUAGCGGUGAAAUGCGUAGAGAUCAGGAAGAACACCGGUGGCGAAGGCGUUCUGCUAGGCCGCAACUGACACUGAGGGACGAAAGCUAGGGGAGCG